RNAcentral lists this ribosomal RNA (432 nucleotides) under uncultured bacterium. RNAcentral describes it as "bacterial SSU rRNA". It matches the Rfam family "Bacterial small subunit ribosomal RNA", at positions 335 to 755 of the family's 1533-position model. The record is from RNAcentral.
ACUCCUACGGGAGGCAGCAGUAGGGAAUCUUCCACAAUGGGCGCAAGCCUGAUGGAGCAACACCGCGUGAGUGAAGAAGGGUUUCGGCUCGUAAAAGCUCUGUUGUUAAAGAAGAACACGUAUGAGAGUAACUGUUCAUACGUUGACGGUAUUUAACCAGAAAGUCACGGCUAACUACGUGCCAGCAGCCGCGGUAAUACGUAGGUGGCAAGCGUUAUCCGGAUUUAUUGGGGCGUAAAGAGAGUGCAGGCGGUUUUCUAAGUCUGAUGUGAAAGCCUUCGGCUUAACCGGAGAAGUGCAUCGGAAACUGGAUAACUUGAGUGCAGAAGAGGGUAGUGGAACUCCAUGUGUAGCGGUGGAAUGCGUAGAUAUAUGGAAGAACACCAGUGGCGAAGGCGGCUACCUGGUCUGCAACUAGACGACUGAGACUCG